ACCAAGGAAAAAGCAGAAUAACUGAUAAAUAGGAGAAAAACCAGGACACUGACCAUCAGCCGGGCUGCCACCACAACACUUUUCUAUUUUAUUUCAGGAAUACUUUAUGCACUCUGACUUAAGGCAUACUGGAAUAAGAUAAAGGGUGAAACGUUGGAGAAAAUGUCACAUUUCAGCCUGAUAGCCUGAUAAAGCAGAGGCAGCAGCCCAUUGGUUCAUUUUCUAAAAUGACCCUAGGCUGGCCCAAUCUCACUGGUGUCAGAUGUCGUGGCUCAGAGCCAAACAUCUGUGGAUGAAGAAGGAUGUCUUUGUCAAUUACCAAGAUAUACAAGCAAAAAUGAAAGAAGUGGGGUGCUGAAAAUGGAUAGAUAUGUUUGCUGCAGCAGUAGCUUCAACAUCUACGGCGACAACUCGUCAUUGUGCAGUAACAUGUGGAAGGAUGAGAGGUGGCUGGCCAUGGUCGCUGCCAGGCAGAGGAGCAAGAAGAGGAGCAGAUAUGUGACAGGAAGGAACAGAGUGAGCAGGAGGAGAGUGUAGCUGAAUCGGUGGUGGUGAUCAAAGGAUGAAGAAAAAUGCUGAGGAUCUGGAUGUGAUGAGGAGGACUUCUGCUGUGCUUGAACUGGACCUAGACCUGAUGCGGUGGAGAAUGCCCACAGUGAGGCCACAAAUUUGACAGUGACUACAUGAUAGUCAAAAUGCAGCCUCCCUGAGCCGCUGUAGACUCUUGUAAUGUACAGAUUGCUUUUGUUCAUCUCACUUAAUAGCGACUGCACGCAUAUCUUCAUGAACGGACAAAAGGGUGUCUUGUUAUUUCCCCCACACAAUUUAGGCCUAAUAAUAUCCCUUAAUUAUUCCCAGAGAACCUUAAAUUCACAGAUUUAUUGCAAUAAAAUGUAUUUAUGUAUUACACUAAUAAAUAUUUUCAAUGUAUCAAAUGACAA
Micropterus dolomieu (smallmouth bass) is the source of this 941-nucleotide long non-coding RNA. RefSeq lists it as uncharacterized. The record is from RefSeq and is a predicted model, not a curated record. The transcript is spliced from 2 exons. Lineage: Eukaryota; Metazoa; Chordata; Actinopteri; Centrarchiformes; Centrarchidae.